AUUGAACGCUGGCGGCAUGCCUUACACAUGCAAGUCGAACGGCAGCACGGGCUUCGGUCUGGUGGCGAGUGGCGAACGGGUGAGUAAUGUAUCGGAACGUACCAUUGAGUGGGGGAUAACGUAGCGAAAGUUACGCUAAUACCGCAUAUUCUCUCCGGAGGAAAGCAGGGGACCGCAAGGCCUUGCGCUCUUUGAGCGGCCGAUAUCAGAUUAGCUAGUUGGUGGGGUAAAAGCUCACCAAGGCGACGAUCUGUAGCGGGUCUGAGAGGAUGAUCCGCCACACUGGAACUGAGACACGGUCCAGACUCCUACGGGAGGCAGCAGUGGGGAAUUUUGGACAAUGGGGGCAACCCUGAUCCAGCCAUGCCGCGUGAGUGAAGAAGGCCUUCGGGUUGUAAAGCUCUUUCGGCCGGGAAAAAAUCGCAUGGAUUAAUACUCUGUGUGGAUGAUGGUACCGGAAUAAGAAGCACCGGCUAACUACGUGCCAGCCGCCGCAGUAA
This 500-nucleotide ribosomal RNA is filed under the name uncultured bacterium. Its description in RNAcentral is "partial 16S ribosomal RNA". It matches the Rfam family "Bacterial small subunit ribosomal RNA", at positions 30 to 523 of the family's 1533-position model. The record is from RNAcentral.